CGGUUUGGCACCUCGAUGUCGGCUUGUCACAUCCUGGGGCUGGAGAAGGUCCCAAGGGUCCGGCUGUUCGCCGGUUAAAGUGGCACAUGAGCUGGGUUCAGAACGUCGUGAGACAGUUCGGUCUGUAUCCGUCGUGGGCGUGGGAGUGUUGAGGGACGUCGUCUCUAGUACGAGAGGACCGAGACGAAGCGACCGCUCGUGUACGGGCUGUCCCGCCAGGGGCAACGCCCGGUAGCGAUGUCGCGCGGAGAUAACCGCUGAAUGCAUCUAAGUGGGAAACUCUUCCCAAGAUGAACACUCCUGGAGCUUAAGCUCCCUGUAGGGCCCUGGAAGACUACCAGGUACAUAGGCGGCAGGUGCACGGGGAGUGAUCCCUUUAGCCGAGCCGUACUAAUCGCCCGUGAAGUUUGAUCUC
This 415-nucleotide ribosomal RNA is filed under the name Gemmatimonadota bacterium. RNAcentral's name for it is "Gemmatimonadetes bacterium (bioreactor metagenome) partial 23S ribosomal RNA". It matches the Rfam family "Bacterial large subunit ribosomal RNA", at positions 2514 to 2925 of the family's 2925-position model. Lineage: Bacteria; Pseudomonadati; Gemmatimonadota. The record is from RNAcentral.